This 450-nucleotide ribosomal RNA is filed under the name marine bacterium S7. Its description in RNAcentral is "bacterial SSU rRNA". It matches the Rfam family "Bacterial small subunit ribosomal RNA", at positions 35 to 473 of the family's 1533-position model. The record is from RNAcentral.
GCUGGCGGCGUGCCUAAUACAUGCUGUCGAGCGAACUGAUUAGAAGCUUGCUUCUAUGACGUUAGCGGCGGACGGGUGAGUAACACGUGGGCAACCUGCCUGUAAGACUGGGAUAACUUCGGGAAACCGAAGCUAAUACCGGAUAGGAUCUUCUCCUUCAUGGGAGAUGAUUGAAAGAUGGUUUCGGCUAUCACUUACAGAUGGGCCCGCGGUGCAUUAGCUAGUUGGUGAGGUAACGGCUCACCAAGGCAACGAUGCAUAGCCGACCUGAGAGGGUGAUCGGCCACACUGGGACUGAGACACGGCCCAGACUCCUACGGGAGGCAGCAGUAGGGAAUCUUCCGCAAUGGACGAAAGUCUGACGGAGCAACGCCGCGUGAGUGAUGAAGGCUUUCGGGUCGUAAAACUCUGUUGUUAGGGAAGAACAAGUACGAGAGUAACUGCUCGUAC